Molecule: signal recognition particle RNA, 299 nt
Filed under: Cebus imitator (Panamanian white-faced capuchin)
Lineage: Eukaryota; Metazoa; Chordata; Mammalia; Primates; Cebidae
Description: Metazoan signal recognition particle RNA (ENSCCAG00000012746.1)
Rfam family: Metazoan signal recognition particle RNA
About the family: The signal recognition particle (SRP) is a universally conserved ribonucleoprotein. It is involved in the co-translational targeting of proteins to membranes.
Source: RNAcentral
ACCGGGCGCGGUGGCGCACACCUGUAGCCCCAGCUACUUGGGAGGCUGAGGUGGGGGAAUCACUUCAGCCCAGGAGUUCUGGGCUGUAGUGCUCUAUGCCGAUCGGGUGUCCCCACUAAGUUCGGCAUCAAUAUGGUGACCUCCCGGGAGCGGGGGACCACCAGGUUGCCUAAGGAGGAGUGAACCGGCCCAGGUUGGAAAUGGAGCAGGGCAAAACUCCCAUGUUGAUCAGUAGUGGGAUCGCGCCUGUGAAUAGCCACUGCACUCCAGCCUGGGCAGCAUAGUGAGACCCCAUCUCA